UUGCAGCAGCCCGACCUGAGUGGAGCUCUUUUUCUUUUUUUUAAUAAAAAAGAAAAAAACGAGAACGGAGGACGGAAAUAGCU
RNAcentral lists this small RNA (83 nucleotides) under Epilithonimonas arachidiradicis. Its description in RNAcentral is "Chryseobacterium arachidiradicis Flavo-1 RNA". The record is from RNAcentral. Lineage: Bacteria; Pseudomonadati; Bacteroidota; Flavobacteriia; Flavobacteriales; Weeksellaceae.